GCAGCCGCGGUAAUACGGAGGAUGCGAGCGUUAUCCGGAUUUAUUGGGUUUAAAGGGUGCGCAGGCGGCGCGUUAAGUCAGCGGUGAAAUGUCGGGGCUCAACCCCGUCACUGCCGUUGAAACUGGCGUGCUCGAGUACGGAUGAAGCGGGCGGAAUGUGAUGUGUAGCGGUGAAAUGCUUAGAUAUGUCACAGAACACCGAUUGCGAAGGCAGCUCGCUAAUCCGCAACUGACGCUCAUGCACGAAAGCGUGGGGAUCGAACAGGAUUAGAUACCCC
RNAcentral lists this ribosomal RNA (278 nucleotides) under uncultured Oscillospiraceae bacterium. Its description in RNAcentral is "partial 16S ribosomal RNA". It matches the Rfam family "Bacterial small subunit ribosomal RNA", at positions 511 to 788 of the family's 1533-position model. Lineage: Bacteria; Bacillati; Bacillota; Clostridia; Eubacteriales; Oscillospiraceae. The record is from RNAcentral.